Molecule: ribosomal RNA, 254 nt
Filed under: uncultured bacterium
Lineage: Bacteria
Description: partial 16S ribosomal RNA
Rfam family: Bacterial small subunit ribosomal RNA
Source: RNAcentral
CACGUAGGGUGCGAGCGUUGUCCGGAAUUAUUGGGCGUAAAGAGCUCGUAGGCGGUGUGUCGCGUCGGCCGUGAAAACCUGUGGCUUAACUAUGGGCCUGCGGUCGAUACGGGCAUCACUGGAGUUCGGUAGGGGAGACUGGAAUUCCUGGUGUAGCGGUGAAAUGCGCAGAUAUCAGGAGGAACACCGAUGGCGAAGGCAGGUCUCUGGGCCGAUACUGACGCUGAGGAGCGAAAGCGUGGGGAGCGAACAGG